AGAGUUUGAUCCUGGCUCAGGAUGAACGCUAGCUACAGGCUUAACACAUGCAAGUCGAGGGGAAACGAUAUUGGAAGCUUGCUUCCGAUAGGCGUCGACCGGCGCACGGGUGAGUAACGCGUAUCCAACCUGCCCACCACUUGGGGAUAACCUUGCGAAAGUAAGACUAAUACCCAAUGACGUCUCUAGAAGACAUCUGAAAGAGAUUAAAGAUUUAUCGGUGAUGGAUGGGGAUGCGUCUGAUUAGCUUGGUUGGCGGGGUAACGGCCCACCAAGGGCUACGAUCAGUAGGGGGUUCUGAGAGGAAGGUCCCCCACAUUGGAACUGAGACACGGUCCAAACUCCUACGGGAGGCA
Molecule: ribosomal RNA, 356 nt
Filed under: uncultured bacterium
Lineage: Bacteria
Description: bacterial SSU rRNA
Rfam family: Bacterial small subunit ribosomal RNA
Source: RNAcentral